CAAAAGAAUGUCGAGCAACGGAGAGACUAUGGAGUACAUGAAUGAAGAUUCGUUUCAAAAGGUGAAGCAGAAGAUAGUGGACCGGUCUAAGAAAGUGGCUCAAACAAAAGAGUUGUUGUCGAAACAAGCGGAUCAGAUGAAGGAGAUCCUCUCCAAGGUUCAUUAACAAGGACCCCAAGAUAUUCCCAAUGUGUAUUGCUUAUUCUAUAUAAUUUUUGUUCCUCUCCGGUGGAUGUACUAUCGGUUCAUGAAAUGACAUUACUAUCUUUUGUGGUUUUCAAUGAUGAAUUUCAUUUGGUUUGGUGGAAAGGCUGUGAUCAAAGACAACAAUUUGCAACCAGUAUCACAUCUCUUUCUUUCUCUCUUACAAACUCUGUCUUUUACUUUUUCAUUCCUGUACAAGAUAAAAUUUUCACUCCCAAUAUCUUUGGGAUUAUAUUUGUAUUUUGUGGUGAGAACCUAGAAAAUUUAAAA
Quercus lobata is the source of this 474-nucleotide long non-coding RNA. RefSeq lists it as uncharacterized. The transcript is spliced from 4 exons. The record is from RefSeq and is a predicted model, not a curated record. NCBI's taxonomy places the organism in Eukaryota, Viridiplantae, Streptophyta, Magnoliopsida, Fagales, Fagaceae.